This 253-nucleotide ribosomal RNA is filed under the name uncultured bacterium. RNAcentral's name for it is "partial 16S ribosomal RNA". It matches the Rfam family "Bacterial small subunit ribosomal RNA", at positions 524 to 776 of the family's 1533-position model. The record is from RNAcentral.
UACGAAGGGGGCUAGCGUUGUCCGGAUUCAUUGGGCGUAAAGGGUGCGUAGGUGGCGCCGUAAGUCAGGUGUGAAAUCUCGGGGCUCAACCCCGAAACUGCACUUGAUACUGCGGUGCUCGAGUACUGGAGAGGAGAUUGGAAUUUACGGUGUAGCAGUGAAAUGCGUAGAUAUCGUAAGGAAGACCAGUGGCGAAGGCGAAUCUCUGGACAGUUACUGACACUGAGGCACGAAGGCCAGGGGAGCAAACGGG